RNAcentral lists this ribosomal RNA (229 nucleotides) under uncultured bacterium. RNAcentral's name for it is "partial 16S ribosomal RNA". It matches the Rfam family "Bacterial small subunit ribosomal RNA", at positions 118 to 348 of the family's 1533-position model. The record is from RNAcentral.
UGAGCAACCUGCCCCUGACUCUGGGAUGACCCCGGGAAACCGGAGCUAAUACCGGAUACGACACGCGAAGGCAUCUUCUGCGUGUAGAAAGAUUUAUCGGUCAGGGAUGGGCUCGCGGCCUAUCAGCUAGUUGGUGGGGUAAUGGCUCACCAAGGCGACGACGGGUAGCUGGUCUGAGAGGAUGGCCAGCCACAUUGGGACUGAGACACGGCCCAGACUCCGUAGGAGG